UCUCCCUCUUUAUCUCUGACCAUUCGCAUUCACACUCCAUAAGAACUCUAUUAUAUAUACUUGCAAAAAACCUCUGGCCGUGGUUGCACAAGUCUGCAACUUCUGAUGGCCAAUCGCUUGGGGAUGAACGGGGAAGAUCACCGGAUUGAAACUAGAGAUCAGAAUGAAUCUGGCUCAUCUCCAGAGAAGACUAUUGGGCCAAAGUCAUAUUCAUACGGUGAACUAGCAAGGGUAACCGGUCAUUUCUCGCUCAAUAAUCUAAUUGGUCGAGGUGGUUUUGGUCAUGUUUUCAAGGCAUUCUUAGAUGGUGAGAUUCGUGCUAUCAAAAGACUUGAUUUUCCAGAUGUACAGUCUGAAGGAGGUUUGGAGAGGGAGAUUAUGGUCGUCAAAAGCAUCAGUCACAAAAAUCUCGUUGAACUAGUUGGUUACUGCAUUGAUGGAGCCAAUAGGUUGCUUAUUUUAAACUAUUUUCCAAAUGGAUCCUUAAGAUCUAAAUUACACGGAAGUGGGGAUGUUUUGGAUUGGAAAAAAAGAAUGAAGAUCGCUAUAGCUUCUGCAAAAUGAUUGGAAUAUUUACAUGAACACUAUAACAGAUUUUGGACUUGCUCAAUUUUUUACCGACGGUGCUACUCACAUAUCCAAAUCAUCAGUUAUGGGAACCCAUGUACGAGCCUAAGCCAAAUCCCAAACCUUUUAUCUUUCAAGAAACUAAUAAUUAUGGCACACGAGAUCGUGGACAUGCCAGUCGACGAGCAACAAAAGCAACAAGUUAUGGUUCCUCCAACAUCAUUCCAGAAACUUCAUUUGAUGAGAUGGAUCGUUUUCCCAAACCCAUCGUCAUUAGGAGAAGAUGAAUAUGUUACAUUCAAUAAAAACCUUAAACCUUUCCCUUCUUAUUUUUCAUAGACCAGAGUUCUCCUUAUCAUUUUAAGCUUUUCUCUUUUUAUUAUUUUCUUUAAUGGAUAACUUAUUAUUUUAUUUUC
Manihot esculenta (cassava) is the source of this 983-nucleotide RNA transcript. It is a transcript of the gene named proline-rich receptor-like protein kinase PERK3, with no coding region annotated. The transcript has 5 exons. The record is from RefSeq and is a predicted model, not a curated record. Lineage: Eukaryota; Viridiplantae; Streptophyta; Magnoliopsida; Malpighiales; Euphorbiaceae.